Long non-coding RNA from Astatotilapia calliptera (eastern happy), 1231 nucleotides. NCBI's taxonomy places the organism in Eukaryota, Metazoa, Chordata, Actinopteri, Cichliformes, Cichlidae. The record is from Ensembl.
CAAAGGUCAAUAAGACAAACACGUAAUUAGGACAAAACAAUAAAAGGAGGAAUUGGAGGACACAAAACAAUUGGACAUAAUACAAAGGUCAAUAAGACAAACACGUAAUUAGGACAAAACAAUAAAAGGAGGACUUGGAGGACACAAAACAAUUGGACAAAACACAAAAGUCAAUAAAGACAUACAUAUAAUUAGGACAAAAAAAUAAAAGGAGGAUUUGGAGGAUACAAAACAAUUGGACAUAACACUAAAAAGCCAAAAUGAGAAACACAUAAUCGGGACAGAAAAAUAUAAGGAGGACUUGGAGGACAUAAAACAAUUGGGCAUCACACAAAAAAAUCACAGGGGAGGACAGAACAAGGACAAAGGAAUGUGGGACAGGAUGGUUACAAAGAAAGGAAUAAAAUCAUAAAGUCACGUAAAAACAAAAGGAAAGGACAAAUAGGAAGGGGGUGCCAUAAAAAUAUAUAAAAAAAAAACGUAAGAAAAAUACUGGAAAGGAAACUAAAGAAGGGGGUGCCAUUACAAUAAUAAAAACAAAGAAAGCCAAAGAAAGGACAGGACAAAACAUUAAGAAUAUUAAACAGAAAAAUAAUGAAACGGAAAACCCAAGAGUGGGAGGAGACAGCACACUAUAAAAGCCAAGGGAGGCACACAAAAAACACACACAGACACGUUGGGCCAGCCUGAGGAAGGCCUAUAACCGGCCGAAACGUCGCGACGGCCCAAUGACACAGAAACACAUUAUUAAAACACAAAACAACAAAAAAAUAAUAAUAAUUAUAAUAAUAACCUACUUACGGGUAAUUUUUGGAAACGGGAUAGGGACAUCAUACCAAUCCGUUGGACGAUCACAGCCUCUUGGGGCAUGCUAUGGGGGACCUUGACGCCCGGGACGCCUUCGGGGACCGGACUCCCAACUUGAUUUCCCUCAACCCCAGUGAAAGGAACCCCAAGUAAAACUCAAAAUAACGGCCAAAGACACAAAGAAAUAAACAAAAAUGAAGGCCAGGUGUAUAAUUAGGAAAGGAGGGUAUGUAAGCCAAAGGAAAGGAAGCAGGAAUUAGGAGCAAAAGGAAACAGAAGGCAAAGCAAGGGUAGGAAAGGAGAAAGGAAAGGAAAAGGAUAGGGUUAAGCCAAAGAAAGCAGUGGAAAAAAGGAAAAACGGAAAGUCACAUAUAUCCGGCACUUUGGAUGCUAUGCAGUGGGGAGGAGCCAAAAGCUAUAAAAG